AAGCCAGGAGGUUACCCUUACAGGAGCCAGCCGCCGAAGGUGGGACAGAUAAUUGGGGUGAAGUCGUAACAAGGUAGCCGUAUCGGAAGGUGCGGCUGGAUCACCUCCUUUCUAAGGAA
Molecule: ribosomal RNA, 119 nt
Filed under: Listeria monocytogenes
Lineage: Bacteria; Bacillati; Bacillota; Bacilli; Caryophanales; Listeriaceae
Description: partial 16S ribosomal RNA
Rfam family: Bacterial small subunit ribosomal RNA
Source: RNAcentral